This is a non-coding RNA of Heterocephalus glaber (naked mole-rat), 1258 nucleotides long. The record is from RefSeq and is a predicted model, not a curated record. NCBI's taxonomy places the organism in Eukaryota, Metazoa, Chordata, Mammalia, Rodentia, Bathyergidae.
GACGCCUGGCGCGCGUCUGGUCCAGAACAGCGCGCUCUCCUUGUCGCAAACUCUGCUAGAAACGCGAUUUCCAGUAUCCACCCCAUUCUUGGAUGUGCCCGGCAAGUAUUCAUUGAUCAUCUACUGGAUUCCAAGUAAUGUGUAUGGCAUUGGGAAUAAAGUGGUGAACACGACAGAGCACCUGCAUCUGCCUCCCAUUGUGGCGGGCCUGUUCCCUACUAGCUAGUCUGGUGACUUUGGCCAUAUGUGGUGAUUAAGAAACUCCCAUAUGGCUGGUGUGGCUGUGGAACUGACCUAUUCAUUUUAAAGACAGGAAUAUGGAGAAGGUAAGAGAAUUAUUACAAAGCAAACCAAAAUACAUUACUGGGCCCUAUAUAUUGCUAGGUACAAAGCAUGGACUAGUUAAUAAAAUUGUCUUAAAUAGGUUAGUUUCCAAAAGAUUAUUCCUAAGUUCCUUUGUUCAUAAAUUCAUUUACUGGAAGUCCAAGAUUUCUCAAUACAAGCAGCAUCAGAUAUAUGCAAAAGUAAUUUUCACCUUUACUUCUUUUUCAUUAUCAUGCAGUUUUUUACAACAGGCCCAUAAUCCCUUAUCAACAAUUUCAAAAUCCAAAAAGUUUUGAAAACUGAAAAGUUGCUGGAAGCUUCUGGCGAGCUCACUUAGGCAAACCUGGCCCAUUGUGACAUAAGGCAAUAAUAUUAUUUAUGUAUUCCACUUGAUGUCAGUAUCCACAUUCAGAAAUAUGGAUGUAUUUAUGGAGUUUGAUUAUGACCAUGGGAGUUGCAAGGAACUUUCUAAUGUGAUGGGAAUGUUUUUUGUUGUUUUGAUUGGGAUUUUGGUUUUUGGUUUUUCUGUUUUGUCCUUUCACCUCUCCUUCCCUCCCCUCUCCUCCCCUCCCCUCCCCUUCCCUUCUCUUCUCUUCUCUCUUUUUCAUGCAGGGUCUUGCUGUAUUAUUCCAGCUUGUCUCAAACUCCAGGGCUCAACUGAUCCUCCUGCCUCUUCCUCCCAAACAGUUGGGACUACUGGUGUGUCCCACUGCCCCUGCCUGGUGGAAAUGGUCUCAACCUUGAUUAUGGUGGUGGCUGUACAAGGCCUCGGGCUCAUUGAGAAAAUUAGUAUGGGUUCAUUUUAUUAUAUAUAAAUUACAGCACAUUAAACUUGCUUUUUUAAUUUUUAAAAAAAUACUAAGUUCCCUACAAACAUGCGUUAUGUGAUGGGCUGAAGUUGCUUUUAAAAGAAAAAUAAAAGUUUUAAAAAUAA